AAAACGUGAACCGCUUGGAUGAUAAACAGCAAUUUCCAAAAUUGAAGAGAUAGGACAAAUUUUACAUAAUAAUAUUAAGAAAUUCCAAUCGAAUUAUUUUUUUCCAUCCUCUUCAUGAUUAUACUUUGACAGAGGCCAUAGCAACCAAAUAAAGUUUUCAGACGAUGAAUCAACCAUUUUCCAUUCUGUUGAUCAUCAGGCGCAGUUUUUCAGCACAGAUCACAUUUCUUUCGUGGGAGUUAGCUUUAAAGAUAAUACCAUUAGAGAACUGAUAUAUCGCCAUAUUUUCAUCCUGAUAUAUUUUUCCGAUUAUAAAAGCUAAUUAUGAAAGAACAGAGCCAAGUGUCAAGUUGUCACCACACGGACGAAGACAUUUAUUUAUGUAUAUGUUGAGGAGCAUGAUGUACUACAAAGUAUUAUGAAAUGUAAUGGAAAACCCUGUGAAUAAACUGUACAAAUCAAGAUCACAGCUAUUUUGUUAUAAUGCAGGACACGUGUAAAAAUCAAUGAAACAUAAAAACUACAACAAAGAUUCUAUUAACCUCCUAGAAGCAGGUUCAAGAAAUCUGUGCGAACUUUUUCCCUCUCAUACUGAUAGAUCUGAGACUCUCUUGGAAAAUCGCUUAUAUAUAUCAGAUCCGAGGUUUUUCGAUUGCCCGUUAUUUUCUUUCUUCAGUUGCCAAAGGGUGGCCUAGAGACAAGAAGUGUCUGUUCGCAGAGGAAGGGGGUCAGGUUGAAUACACAUAGUUUUUGAACUCAUGUUCCGAUUAGCCGCGUACUUUUGCAGGUUAUUUUGAGCAGCCACUCGUUAAAUGUAGACAGUAAAUGUGUAUCCAAAAUGAGUCUUUGUUAAUAGACAUAAAAAUGAAUGCUUAUGAAAAAUACAAGUACGCAUACAGGUAUUAUUAUUAGCCUGAUCUACAAGGCUAAAAGUCUUCCAACUUGUGAAAUGUAAUUAAUUUUAAAAAACAAAUAAAAUGAAUAUAAAAUGACAAAUUAGAAAGUUCACAAGUUUUUCUCUCUAUAGAUUAGUUUCAUAUAAGUAUCCUCGAUUCAAAUGACUUUUGGAAUUUAGCUUUAGAAUACGAAAAUUUGUUACGAAUCUGUAAUGUUGCCCCCCGGCACGGUUAGUUCCAUCGCCAGAAAGACCAUUUUAUAAUUAGCUCUAUAGGAUGCUGAAUGGAUGUCGAACCAAUGACUCUCCAAGCUUGGCGACUUUGGCAACACAACUGAAGAUUCUAGAAUUUUCAGGAAUUUUGGCGAUAGGAUCAAUACGAGGCAAAUUGUGCCGAUUCAUCCAGAACUUUCUGCAUCCUGCUGCGGAAGCUAAAAAAGAAAGCCCGCAGAUCAAGCCGGUGUCAGUCAGUCAGUCAGUCAUUAAUGAGUUUGUUGGAUCAGUCCAACUAACCAGCAUCAGUUCAACUAAUCAGUUCAUCAGUCCAGCGAAGCACAAUCCAACCAUUUCAAUAUUACUGCAUUGCGGUAUCAGAUGUUUUGCUAUAAAUACUGAGUUGGACAAAAAAUAAAGAAAUCAUGCAAAUAAACACCGAAACUCUUUGUCAUGAAAACCAAAAUGUCGGACGAGAUUCUGUAUUUAUACAUUUGUUAUUUUAAUGUUAAAGAAACAAAAUUAUAACUUAUUUUCACUCAUUGUGAUAACUGAUUUAAACGGCACAGCGGGCAGAUGCGUUUCGUCUAAAAUGUGCUUUGUUAGUGCUAUAUGUGUUCAAGAGUUUAAAUGGUUGCCACAAUACAAAUUUAAUCGAUAAAAUAUAACGCAUUGGCAACGUAUAAUUAAUCAAUUGACCUCAUGUUCCACAUUCCUGAUAACGGAACGAAG
Argiope bruennichi is the source of this 1840-nucleotide long non-coding RNA. RefSeq lists it as uncharacterized. Lineage: Eukaryota; Metazoa; Arthropoda; Arachnida; Araneae; Araneidae. The transcript is spliced from 4 exons. The record is from RefSeq and is a predicted model, not a curated record.